AUUACAAGGUAUGGGUAGAUAUGAAACGUUAACUUAAGCAUCAAAUUCAGAUGACGGUUCUUCUUAUUAAUAUACCUAUAUUAACAGGGCAUUUAUGAGAAAGAAGGGUUACAGUGCGGUGGACAUGUGAUACUGUCAAACAUCCCAAACAACAGGACAGUACAUUUUGUGGAGUAUUUGCAUUGAAGUUUGCAGAAAGACUCCUUGCAAAAGAGGCUGUGGAUUUCCCUGUUUUCACUGAGGCGGUCAACAGCCUCAGGUUUGACAUUGCUGUGAGACUUCUCCUUAACAGUGAUGACUUAGAAGACUUGUGCCACUUCUGCGGAGAGAUGGAAAAAGAG
Girardinichthys multiradiatus is the source of this 341-nucleotide long non-coding RNA. RefSeq lists it as uncharacterized. The record is from RefSeq and is a predicted model, not a curated record. NCBI's taxonomy places the organism in Eukaryota, Metazoa, Chordata, Actinopteri, Cyprinodontiformes, Goodeidae. The transcript is spliced from 3 exons.